GCUUAAGAAAAGGAUUUUAGUCCCGCCUAAAGAUAAUCUAAUAAGUCUAAAUAAAAUUUCUGUCUUUAAAGUAAUUCAAAUAAGUUACAGCCUGUUUGAAAUAGGACACAACCUAAACUAAUGGAUAAGCAUCUAAAUUUUUGUUUAAUUAAGUAGGCCUAAAAGCAGCCAUCUUUAAAAUAGCGUCAAAGCUUAAUCAAACCUAACCUCAAUCCCAAAUUACACAGCAAACCCUUUAAUAGUAUUAAGCAAUUCUAUACUCCUAUAGAAAUUUUUAUGUUAAAACUAGUAACAAGAAGAAGACCUUCUCUAAAAUGUAAGUAUAAGUCAGAAAGAACCCCCCACUGACAAUUAACACCUAUGAACCUACAGUAGAAACCCAACAAGAAAAAUCUACUUAACACAAUGUUAACCUAACACAAGAACAUUAAAAGAAAGAUUAAAAGAAAAAGAAGGAACUCGGCAAAUUUUAACCUCGCCUGUUUACCAAAAACAUCGCCUCUUGAAUCAUAUUUGAGGUCCAGCCUGCCCAGUGACUCUGUUCAACGGCCGCGGUAUCCUAACCGUGCAAAGGUAGCGUAAUCACUUGUUCUUUAAAUAAGGACUAGUAUGAAUGGCAUCACGAAGGUUAUACUGUCUCCUUUUUCCAAUCAGUGAAACUGAUCUUCCCGUGAAGAAGCGGGAAUCCAACUAUAAGACGAGAAGACCCUACGGAGCUUUAAACACAAUGUCAUCUGUCCCAGCAAACAUCUUAAAAACUUGCCCAGCAUUUUGACUAUUAGUUUUAGGUUGGGGUGACCGCGGAGUAAAACUUAACCUCCACAUUGAAUAAAUACUAUUUAAACUAAGAGAUACAUCUCUAAGCAUCAAUAAAUUGACAUUCAUUGACCCAAUAUUUUGAUCAACGAACCAAGUUACCCUAGGGAUAACAGCGCAAUCCACUUUGAGAGUCCCUAUCGACAAGAGGGUUUACGACCUCGAUGUUGGAUCAAGGUAUCCCAGUGGUGCAGCCGCUACUAAAGGUUCGUUUGUUCAACGAUUAAAACCUU
RNAcentral lists this ribosomal RNA (1049 nucleotides) under Cryptobatrachus remotus. Its description in RNAcentral is "partial 16S ribosomal RNA". It matches the Rfam family "Bacterial large subunit ribosomal RNA", at positions 855 to 2597 of the family's 2925-position model. The record is from RNAcentral. Lineage: Eukaryota; Metazoa; Chordata; Amphibia; Anura; Hemiphractidae.